Non-coding RNA from Acanthosepion pharaonis, 106 nucleotides. The record is from the annotation of a GenBank genome assembly. NCBI's taxonomy places the organism in Eukaryota, Metazoa, Mollusca, Cephalopoda, Sepiida, Sepiidae.
AUAGCCAUAUCACGGUCAAACACUGGUGCUCAUACAAUCACUGAAGUUAAGCAACAUUGAGCUUGGCCAGUAUCAAGAUGGGGACCACUUGGGAAUACCAGGUGCU